GACGAACGCUGGCGGCGUGCUUAACACAUGCAAGUCGAACGAAGAGCGAUGGAAGCUUGCUUCUAUCAAUCUUAGUGGCGAACGGGUGAGUAACGCGUAAUCAACCUGCCCUUCAGAGGGGGACAACAGUUGGAAACGACUGCUAAUACCGCAUACGAUCUAAUCUCGGCAUCGAGGAUAGAUGAAAGGUGGCCUCUACAUGUAAGCUAUCACUGAAGGAGGGGAUUGCGUCUGAUUAGCUAGUUGGAGGGGUAACGGCCCACCAAGGCGAUGAUCAGUAGCCGGUCUGAGAGGAUGAACGGCCACAUUGGGACUGAGACACGGCCCAGACGCCUACGGGAGGCAGCAGUGGGGAAUCUUCCGCAAGGGACGAAAGUCUGACGGAGCAACGCCGCGGGAGUGAUGACGGCCUUCGGGUUGUAAAGCUCUGUUAAUCGGGACGAAAGGCCUUCUUGCGAAUAGUGAGAAGGAUUGACGGUACCGGAAUAGAAAGCCACGGCUAACUACGUG
This 510-nucleotide ribosomal RNA is filed under the name uncultured bacterium. Its description in RNAcentral is "partial 16S ribosomal RNA". It matches the Rfam family "Bacterial small subunit ribosomal RNA", at positions 28 to 507 of the family's 1533-position model. The record is from RNAcentral.